RNAcentral lists this ribosomal RNA (497 nucleotides) under uncultured bacterium. RNAcentral describes it as "partial 16S ribosomal RNA". It matches the Rfam family "Bacterial small subunit ribosomal RNA", at positions 28 to 507 of the family's 1533-position model. The record is from RNAcentral.
GAUGAACGCUGGCGGCGUGCCUAAUACAUGCAAGUCGAGCGAACAGACGAGGAGCUUGCUCCUCUGACGUUAGCGGCGGACGGGUGAGUAACACGUGGAUAACCUACCUAUAAGACUGGGAUAACUUCGGGAAACCGGAGCUAAUACCGGAUAAUAUAUUGAACCGCAUGGUUCAAUAGUGAAAGACGGUUUUGCUGUCACUUAUAGAUGGAUCCGCGCCGCAUUAGCUAGUUGGUAAGGUAACGGCUUACCAAGGCAACGAUGCGUAGCCGACCUGAGAGGGUGAGCGGCCACACUGGAACUGAGACACGGUCCAGACUCCUACGGGAGGAAGCAGUAGGGAAUCUUCCGCAAUGGGCGAAAGCUUGACGGAGCAACGCCGCGUGAGUGAUGAAGGUCUUCGGAUCGUAAAACUCCGUUAUUAGGGAAGAACAAAUGUGUAAGUAACUAUGCACGUAUUGACGGUACCUAAUCAGAAAGCCACGGCUAACUACGUG